GGAGGGAUGGCAGAGAGGCUAAAUGCACCGUAUUGAGCGUACGGCAAAUCUUGGGGGCGUGUCCCCGGGGUUUCGAGGGUUCGAAUCCCUCUCCCUCCGCCA
This 102-nucleotide transfer RNA is filed under the name Gammaproteobacteria bacterium. RNAcentral describes it as "tRNA-Leu". It matches the Rfam family "tRNA". From Rfam's summary of the family: Transfer RNA (tRNA) molecules are approximately 80 nucleotides in length. Lineage: Bacteria; Pseudomonadati; Pseudomonadota; Gammaproteobacteria. The record is from RNAcentral.